Long non-coding RNA from Drosophila teissieri, 596 nucleotides. RefSeq lists it as uncharacterized. Lineage: Eukaryota; Metazoa; Arthropoda; Insecta; Diptera; Drosophilidae. The record is from RefSeq and is a predicted model, not a curated record. The transcript has 3 exons.
GAAACCCCUUAUAAUAGCCCACAAAACUAGUAGUAUUUUGUGUGCCUGCUCCAACUGACAGCGGAAAGAGACGGCGAAAGACCCACUGCUAUCCCCACUCUUCGCACACAAACACAGCAGCAAGUUCAAGUUUGUGAGGCAGGAUCCCAUUCAAGGCCCCAACCAGCAGACUGCGCGAAGAGGAAGAACAAUGGAUGUGGAAAACUCUCAACAUGAAACACCUUGUGCCUCCCACUUUUACUCUUUUCCUUCUCCCACUUUUACUCUCCUCCUUUCGCACGCCCACUCACUUUUCUUGCUCCACCCCACACCCCCACACACAUACAUGGAAACGCGACCUCGGAUAAGGUAGAGAAUGUUCUCAAACUUCGGCGAAACUCCGCAGAAAAAGAAAGAAAAGUAAGAGGCGGAGGGGGAAAUGGGUGGAGGAGUGGAGAGGCGGGAGAAGGGAGCCGGGGGGCUAGUGAGAAUCGAGCGAAGCCAAAUAAAUGCGAUGAAAAGGAAACCCAAGAGGCGGAAAACAACGCAAAAGCCAGCCUAGGAAAAUGGAAAAAUGUUUUAUGUGCAAAUAUACACUUAUAAGCAUACCAAUACAG